Molecule: long non-coding RNA, 614 nt
Filed under: Actinia tenebrosa (Australian red waratah sea anemone)
Lineage: Eukaryota; Metazoa; Cnidaria; Anthozoa; Actiniaria; Actiniidae
Description: uncharacterized LOC116306482
Source: RNAcentral
CUUGAACUUUUGAAAGUUGAUCUGUUUACCUUCUGUUGAACUUAUGUCAACAGGAAGCAUUUCUUGGGUUCUGAUUCGUUGUUUUUGUGAUUAACCAGGAAUCAAAACCACGAUAGCAAACAAUCUCGGUCUCUUUCUUUCCAAGUCUCGGACGAGUUAACAGCAAGAGUUUAGAAAAUAAGUUUGUUUUCAAUACAGCGUUUCUAAAUAGGAAAAGCUAACUACAGAAGAUGUUCUAGAGUACUAGUUUCCUAUUACAGGAUCGAACCUCAAGUCUUCAGUGACGCAUCUAAACUAAGGAAACCAAGAUGACGGAGAGAACCUCGUUGGCUUCGAGAUGCUUGAUAGCAACGAAUGGCCCUCACGAAUGAUUCCGGUUCUCAAGACGCAAAAGAAGUUCAUUUAUGUAUGGCCGGAGCCGAGUCACUGAUAAGGAUAAAGAAAAUGCUGCAGGAUACAUAAAUCUAGUCAACGUCACCCUGGCAUUAUUAAAUGAAACUGUUGUAGAUGUUCAAUCAAUAUGCUUGCCUGGCAGCUGAAGGCUUAGUUGUCUGGAAUUGCCCUCCAACAGAAUUGCAAAUGCCACUUAAACCGACUUUUAUAGCUAGCUACUA